UAGGGAANCUUCGGCAAUGGGGGCAACCCUGACCGAGCAACGCCGCGUGAGUGAAGAAGGUUUUCGGAUCGUAAAGCUCUGUUGUAAGAGAAGAACGGGUGUGAGAGUGGAAAGUUCACACUGUGACGGUAACUUACCAGAAAGGGACGGCUAACUACGUGCCAGCAGCCGCGGUAAUACGUAGGUCCCGAGCGUUAUCCGGAUUUAUUGGGCGUAAAGCGAGCGCAGGCGGUUAGAUAAGUCUGAAGUUAAAGGCUGUGGCUUAACCAUAGUACGCUUUGGAAACUGUUUAACUUGAGUGCAGAAGGGGAGAGUGGAAUUCCAUGUGUAGCGGUGAAAUGCGUAGAUAUAUGGAGGAACACCGGUGGCGAAAGCGGCUCUCUGGUCUGUAACUGACGCUGAGGCUCGAAAGCGUGGGGAGCAAACAGGAUUAGAUACCCUGGUAGUCCACGCCGUAAACGAUGAGUGCUAGGUGUUGGGUCCUUUCCGGGACUCAGUGCCGCAGCUAACGCAUUAAGCACUCCGCCUGGGGAGUACGACCGCAAGGUUG
This 550-nucleotide ribosomal RNA is filed under the name uncultured bacterium. Its description in RNAcentral is "bacterial SSU rRNA". It matches the Rfam family "Bacterial small subunit ribosomal RNA", at positions 355 to 896 of the family's 1533-position model. The record is from RNAcentral.